GGUUAAGCGACUAAGCGUACACGGUGGAUGCCCUGGCAGUCAGAGGCGAUGAAGGACGUGCUAAUCUGCGAUAAGCGUCGGUAAGGUGAUAUGAACCGUUAUAACCGGCGAUUUCCGAAUGGGGAAACCCAGUGUGAUUCGUCACACUAUCAUUAACUGAAUCCAUAGGUUAAUGAGGCGAACCGGGGGAACUGAAACAUCUAAGUACCCCGAGGAAAAGAAAUCAACCGAGAUUCCCCCAGUAGCGGCGAGCGAACGGGGAGCAGCCCAGAGCCUGAAUCAGUGUGUGUGUUAGUGGAAGCGUCUGGAAAGGCGUGCGAUACAGGGUGACAGCCCCGUACACAAAAAUGCACAUACUGUGAGCUCGAUGAGUAGGGCGGGACACGUGGUAUCCUGUCUGAAUAUGGGGGGACCAUCCUCCAAGGCUAAAUACUCCUGACUGACCGAUAGUGAACCAGUACCGUGAGGGAAAGGCGAAAAGAACCCCGGCGAGGGGAGUGAAAAAGAACCUGAAACCGUGUACGUACAAGCAGUGGGAGCACGCUUAGGCGUGUGACUGCGUACCUUUUGUAUAAUGGGUCAGCGACUUAUAUUCUGUAGCAAGGUUAACCGAAUAGGGGAGCCGAAGGGAAACCGAGUCUUAACUGGGCGUUAAGUUGCAGGGUAUAGACCCGAAACCCGGUGAUCUAGCCAUGGGCAGGUUGAAGGUUGGGUAACACUAACUGGAGGACCGAACCGACUAAUGUUGAAAAAUUAGCGGAUGACUUGUGGCUGGGGGUGAAAGGCCAAUCAAACCGGGAGAUAGCUGGUUCUCCCCGAAAGCUAUUUAGGUAGCGCCUCGUGAAUUCAUCUCCGGGGGUAGAGCACUGUUUCGGCAAGGGGGUCAUCCCGACUUACCAACCCGAUGCAAACUGC
RNAcentral lists this ribosomal RNA (915 nucleotides) under Escherichia coli. RNAcentral's name for it is "partial 23S ribosomal RNA". It matches the Rfam family "Bacterial large subunit ribosomal RNA", at positions 1 to 957 of the family's 2925-position model. RNAcentral also lists the same sequence under 1 other name. Lineage: Bacteria; Pseudomonadati; Pseudomonadota; Gammaproteobacteria; Enterobacterales; Enterobacteriaceae. The record is from RNAcentral.